Molecule: long non-coding RNA, 597 nt
Filed under: Brassica napus (rape)
Lineage: Eukaryota; Viridiplantae; Streptophyta; Magnoliopsida; Brassicales; Brassicaceae
Description: long non-coding RNA (BNAP_LNC026146)
Source: RNAcentral
CUCUCCGUUGCUCGAUCCUCCUUACACUCAGCUCCGUCUUCUUCGUCAUGCUCAGCUUAGUCGUCGCCGUCAGCCCAUCGGAGUGAAAGCUCGAGCAAGUGAGCAACAAUGGUGGAUUUUAGAGAUUUUGCCCAUCUGGCCCUUUACCUUUCGGAUAUUAACUCUUUGACCCCAAACCUAUUGAAUGUGCAGAAAGGUCCCCUCGAAUCAACGGACAGAACUUAGGUUCACCCCCUAGGGUGAACCUUUAAAUUCACCCCACCCUUUAGCACCAAUCAAAUUUCCACAUUGAUUAUUAAUUAAAAAAUAUUAAAUGAAACAAAAAUUAGCUAUAAAAAAUAAAAAAUACUAAUUUUAACGACGCUAACGCUUCCACAUAAACCCUAAACCCUAAAUCUUAAAUUCAAAAUCCUAUACCCUAAAUUCUAAACCCAAGUCCAAACCCCUAAACCCAAACCCUAUACCCUAAACCCUAAUCCUAAACCCUAAACCCUAAUCCUAGACCAUAAACCUAAACCCUAUAUCCUUAUACCCUAAUCCUAGACCCUAAACCCAAACCCUAUACCCUAAACCCUAAUCCUAGACCCUAAAUCCAAA